AGUGAACGCUGGCGGUAGGCCUAACACAUGCAAGUCGAACGGCAGCACAGUAAGAGCUUGCUCUUACGGGUGGCGAGUGGCGGACGGGUGAGGAAUACAUCGGAAUCUACUUUUUCGUGGGGGAUAACGUAGGGAAACUUACGCUAAUACCGCAUACGACCUACGGGUGAAGGCAGGGGAUCUUCGGACCUUGCGCGAUUGAAUGGGCCGAUGUCGGAUUAGCUAGUUGGCGGGGUAAAGGCCCACCAAGGCGACGAUCCGUAGCUGGUCUGAGAGGAUGAUCAGCCACACUGGAACUGAGACACGGUCCAGACUCCUACGGGAGGCAGCAGUGGGGAAUAUUGGACAAUGGGCGCAAGCCUGAUCCAGCCAUACCGCGUGGGUGAAGAAGGCCUUCGGGUUGUAAAGCCCUUUUGUUGGGAAAGAAAAGCAGCAGGUUAAUACCCCGCUGUUCUGACGGUACCCAAAGAAUAGCACCGGCUAACUUCGUG
Molecule: ribosomal RNA, 491 nt
Filed under: uncultured bacterium
Lineage: Bacteria
Description: partial 16S ribosomal RNA
Rfam family: Bacterial small subunit ribosomal RNA
Source: RNAcentral